CCAGCAAAACCACAUUUGUGACAGUCAGUACAGCGUAAACUCCGAAGAAGAAGAUCAACUAAAAACCGAAAAUACAGAUUUAGACGCAUUACAGUAUGGUCUAGCUUUAUCGUGAGAGCAUCAUUCACCUGCCCGUUAGAGGUGACGCGGGACCAGAGCUGCAGAGAAGACGGGGGCGCUUCGUGGUGUCGUAGCAAAUAAUAAUACUCAAUAGCCGGUUCUACGUUUUGAAAGAAUGCUAGAAGGAAAGCCACCAAGACCGCAGUCACGGCAAAUUGAGGUUUCAUGCGUUUGUGUACCCAUAGCGGUCUGAUUAUGGCAACCAUGCGCUCACCCGAGCUGUGGAUUUUGACCACACUGUCGAUUAACAUUACCUACCAAUCAACCGAGUUGAUCAAAGUGUUGCCAAUACAUGUUAUUGCACCGAAGGAAUCCAAUAAAGAGUUGGCCAGCGAACUGUUAGCGUGACGGGCGUCCUGAGAACUGUUGUAAUCCAUAAUUCUGAUUGGAAGCUGGAUCCACCUGAAAAUGAAUGGUUUAAUCAUUUCGCUCUUAUCAAAUCUGUCAGCCAUUUUGAUUGGAUUUUCCUGGUUUCGAUUCUGUCGCAUUACGUAUACGAGGAUCAACGGCCGAAAGUGCUGCAUAUUGUAACAAUACGUGCA
This is a long non-coding RNA of Paramacrobiotus metropolitanus, 662 nucleotides long. RefSeq lists it as uncharacterized. The record is from RefSeq and is a predicted model, not a curated record. The transcript has 3 exons. Lineage: Eukaryota; Metazoa; Tardigrada; Eutardigrada; Parachela; Macrobiotidae.